AAUGGGUCAGCGACUUAUAUUCUGUAGCAAGGUUAACCGAAUAGGGGAGCCGAAGGGAAACCGAGUCUUAACUGGGCGUUAAGUUGCAGGGUAUAGACCCGAAACCCGGUGAUCUAGCCAUGGGCAGGUUGAAGGUUGGGUAACACUAACUGGAGGACCGAACCGACUAAUGUUGAAAAAUUAGCGGAUGACUUGUGGCUGGGGGUGAAAGGCCAAUCAAACCGGGAGAUAGCUGGUUCUCCCCGAAAGCUAUUUAGGUAGCGCCUCGUGAAUUCAUCUCCGGGGGUAGAGCACUGUUUCGGCAAGGGGGUCAUCCCGACUUACCAACCCGAUGCAAACUGCGAAUACCGGAGAAUGUUAUCACGGGAGACACACGGCGGGUGCUAACGUCCGUCGUGAAGAGGGAAACAACCCAGACCGCCAGCUAAGGUCCCAAAGUCAUGGUUAAGUGGGAAACGAUGUGGGAAGGCCCAGACAGCCAGGAUGUUGGCUUAGAAGCAGCCAUCAUUUAAAGAAAGCGUAAUAGCUCACUGGUCGAGUCGGCCUGCGCGGAAGAUGUAACGGGGCUAAACCAUGCACCGAAGCUGCGGCAGCGACGCUUAUGCGUUGUUGGGUAGGGGAGCGUUCUGUAAGCCUGUGAAGGUGGCCUGUGAGGGUUGCUGGAGGUAUCAGAAGUGCGAAUGCUGACAUAAGUAACGAUAAAGCGGGUGAAAAGCCCGCUCGCCGGAAGACCAAGGGUUCCUGUCCAACGUUAAUCGGGGCAGGGUGAGUCGACCCCUAAGGCGAGGCCGAAAGGCGUAGUCGAUGGGAAACAGGUUAAUAUUCCUGUACUUGGUGUUACUGCGAAGGGGGGACGGAGAAGGCUAUGUUGGCCGGGCGACGGUUGUCCCGGUUUAAGCGUGUAGGCUGAUUUUCCAGGCAAAUCCGGAAAAUCAAGGC
This 939-nucleotide ribosomal RNA is filed under the name Escherichia coli. RNAcentral describes it as "partial 23S ribosomal RNA". It matches the Rfam family "Bacterial large subunit ribosomal RNA", at positions 614 to 1556 of the family's 2925-position model. The record is from RNAcentral. Lineage: Bacteria; Pseudomonadati; Pseudomonadota; Gammaproteobacteria; Enterobacterales; Enterobacteriaceae.